This 496-nucleotide ribosomal RNA is filed under the name uncultured bacterium. Its description in RNAcentral is "partial 16S ribosomal RNA". It matches the Rfam family "Bacterial small subunit ribosomal RNA", at positions 28 to 506 of the family's 1533-position model. The record is from RNAcentral.
GAUGAACGCUGGCGGCGUGCCUAAUACAUGCAAGUCGAGCGAACAGAUGAGGAGCUUGCUCCUCUGACGUUAGCGGCGGACGGGUGAGUAACACGUGGAUAACCUACCUAUAAGACUGGGAUAACUUCGGGAAACCGGAGCUAAUACCGGAUAAUAUAUUGAACCGCAUGGUUCAAUAGUGAAAGACGGUUUUGCUGUCACUUAUAGAUGGAUCCGCGCCGCAUUAGCUAGUUGGUAAGGUAACGGCUUACCAAGGCAACGAUGCGUAGCCGACCUGAGAGGGGGAUCGGCCACACUGGAACUGAGACACGGUCCAGACUCCUACGGGAGGCAGCAGUAGGGAAUCUUCCGCAAUGGGCGAAAGCCUGACGGAGCAACGCCGCGUGAGUGAGGAAGGUCUUCGGAUCGUAAAACUCUGUUAUUAGGGAAGAACAAAUGUGUAAGUAACUAUGCACGUCUGGACGGUACCUAAUCAGAAAGCCACGGCUAACUACGU